Molecule: non-coding RNA, 977 nt
Filed under: Loxodonta africana (African savanna elephant)
Lineage: Eukaryota; Metazoa; Chordata; Mammalia; Proboscidea; Elephantidae
Description: Bacterial small subunit ribosomal RNA
Rfam family: Microsporidia small subunit ribosomal RNA
Source: Rfam by way of RNAcentral
AAACACAAAGGUUUGGUCCUAGCCUUUUUAUUUGUUGUUAGUAAAUUUAUACAUGCAAGUAUCCGCCCACCAGUGAGAAUGCCCUUCAGAUCGUUAUCAGAAGGGGCUGGUAUCAAGCACACACCAGUAUAGCUCAGUAAUGGCUUGUUCCACCACACCCCCAUGGGAUACAGCAGUAACAAAAAUUUAGCUAUUAAUGAAAGUUAGACUAAGUUAUACUACAAUAGGAUGGUCAAUUUUGUGCCAGCCACCACGGUAAUAGGAUUAACCCGAAUUAAUAAAUAACGGCGUAAAGCGUGUUAAGAGCAAGAUAAAAUAAAGUUAAAUUUUACCUAAGCUGUAAAAAGCCAAUGAUAAAGUGAAGACAAUCUACGAAAGUGACUUUAACAACUCUGAAUACAUAACAGCUAAGACACAAACAGGGAUUAGAUACUCCACUAUGCUUAGCCCUAAUCCUUGAUAACUACUAACAAAGUUAUUCGCCAGAGAACUACUAGCUAAAGUUUAAAACUCAAAGGACUUGGUGAUGCUUUAUAUCCACCUAGAGGAGCCUGUCCCCAUAAUAGAUAAACCCCGAUAAACCUUACCACCACUUGCUAAUUCAGUCUAUACACCACCAUCUUCAGCAAACCCUUAAAAGGUACUAAAGGAAGCUCAAUAAAAAAAGGAAGCUCAAUAGUUGCCAUAAAAAAGUUAGGUCAAGGUGUAGCCUAUGUGGUGGUCCAAGAUGGGCUACAUUUUCUACCUCAGGAUAUACUAACAAACAUCAUUAUGAAAUAAUGACUGAAGGAUGAUUUUGUAGUAAAUUAAGAAUAGAGAGCUUAAUUGAAUUAGGCCUUGAAGAAUGCACACACCACUCCUCACCCUCCUCAAAUGUUUUUAACUACGUAAUCAUAUGAUAAGCCUAAACAAGUAUGGGAGGAGACAAAUCGUAACAAGGUAAGCAUACUGGAAAGUGUGCUUGGAUAACUCAAAGU